CGCGUGAGUGAGGAAGGUUUUCGGAUCGUAAAGCUCUGUUGUUAGGGAAGAACAAGUACCGUUCGAAUAGGGCGGUACCAUGACGGUACCUAACCAGAAAGCCACGGCUAACUACGUGCCAGCAGCCGCGGUAAUACGUAGGUGGCAAGCGUUGUCCGGAAUUAUUGGGCGUAAAGCGCGCGCAGGCGGUCCUUUAAGUCUGAUGUGAAAGCCCCCGGCUCAACCGGGGAGGGUCAUUGGAAACUGGGGGACUUGAGUACAGGAGAGGAGAGUGGAAUUCCACGUGUAGCGGUGAAAUGCGUAGAGAUGUGGAGGAACACCAGUGGCGAAGGCGGCUCUCUGGCCUGUAACUGACGCUGAGGCGCGAAAGCGUGGGGAGCAAACAGGAUUAGAUACCCUGGUAGUCCACGCCGUAAACGAUGAGUGCUAGGUGUUGGGGGGUACCACCCUCAGUGCUGACGUAAACACAUUAAGCACUCCGCCUGGGGAGUACGACCGCAAGGUUGAAACUCAAAGGAAUUGACGGGGGCCCGCACAAGCAGUGGAGCAUGUGGUUUAAUUCGAAGCAACGCGAAGAACCUUACCAGGUCUUGACAUCCUCUGAAAGCUCUAGAGAUAGAGAGUUCCCCUUCGGGGGACAGAGUGACAGGUGGUGCAUGGUUGUCGUCAGCUCGUGUCGUGAGAUGUGGGGUUAAGUCCCGCAACGAGCGCAACCCUUG
RNAcentral lists this ribosomal RNA (719 nucleotides) under uncultured bacterium. RNAcentral's name for it is "bacterial SSU rRNA". It matches the Rfam family "Bacterial small subunit ribosomal RNA", at positions 398 to 1107 of the family's 1533-position model. The record is from RNAcentral.